Long non-coding RNA from Pogonomyrmex barbatus (red harvester ant), 368 nucleotides. NCBI's taxonomy places the organism in Eukaryota, Metazoa, Arthropoda, Insecta, Hymenoptera, Formicidae. The record is from RefSeq and is a predicted model, not a curated record.
AUCUAAGCACGAGUUAGAUUCGAGUUAGAUUCAAAUAAAAUCUCAAAGGCGUGGAACCGCGAAACGCCGAGAAUUUCGGAUUUAUCGAUGAAUUAUCUUGUCCUCACGGAACAUUGGAGAAAUGGGGGAGAGGGUGAGAGUGAUUGAAUAGGCAAUCAGGUAGUGUCCCCUAUCUAUUAACAGGAAAUUAUUCUGCAAACCGAACAGACGGAACUCUUGUGAUAAUUACGCGCACUGCUCAGCAAAACGAUUUUACUGUACGAGUUAUUCUGAGAGAGGACAAUUACCCUCGAAAGCGAAAGAAUUUUUGGAUUGGAGAAAACAAACCGCUAAUAUCUGGUUGAAAUUAAAAUUCUUAGAGCUAUCGU